GACGAACGCUGGCGGCGUGCUUAACACAUGCAAGUCGAACGGAAAGGCCCUGCUUUUGUGGGGUGCUCGAGUGGCGAACGGGUGAGUAACACGUGAGUAUCCUGCCCUUGACUUUGGGAUAACUUCAGGAAACUGGGGCUAAUACCGGAUAGGAGCUCUUGCUGCAUGGUGGGGGUUGGAAAGUUUCGGCGGUUGGGGCUGGUCUCGCGGCUUAUGAGCUUGUUGGGGGGGUAGGCGCUUACAAAGUCUUUGACGGGUAGCCGGCAUGAGAGGGUGACCGGCGACCAUGGGACUGCGGGACGGAGCAGACGGGAAUGUGACGCAGUGGGCGGGAACAUGGCGGAGCGGGGGGACGUCUGUGACGGAGAUGCCGCGUGCGGAAAGAUGGCUUACUAGUGGAAAACCGCUGUGGAAGGUGAUGUAGCGGGAUUGACGGUAAUUAAUAAAGAAGCCCCGGCUAACUACGUG
Molecule: ribosomal RNA, 468 nt
Filed under: uncultured bacterium
Lineage: Bacteria
Description: partial 16S ribosomal RNA
Rfam family: Bacterial small subunit ribosomal RNA
Source: RNAcentral